This 546-nucleotide ribosomal RNA is filed under the name Bacillus sp. M4-C1. Its description in RNAcentral is "bacterial SSU rRNA". It matches the Rfam family "Bacterial small subunit ribosomal RNA", at positions 1 to 518 of the family's 1533-position model. Lineage: Bacteria; Bacillati; Bacillota; Bacilli; Caryophanales; Bacillaceae. The record is from RNAcentral.
UGAGCUUGAUCCUGGCUCAGGACGAACGCUGGCGGCGUGCCUAAUACAUGCAAGUCGAGCGCAGGAAGCCGGCGGAUCCCUUCGGGGUGAAGCCGGUGAGAAUGAGCGGCGGACGGGUGAGUAACACGUGGGCAACCUACCUUGUAGACUGGGAUAACUCCGGGAAACCGGGGCUAAUACCGGAUGAUCAUUUGGAUCGCAUGAUCCGAAUGUAAAAGUGGGGAUUUAUCCUCACACUGCAAGAUGGGCCCGCGGCGCAUUAGCUAGUUGGUAAGGUAAUGGCUUACCAAGGCGACGAUGCGUAGCCGACCUGAGAGGGUGAUCGGCCACACUGGAACUGAGACACGGUCCAGACUCCUACGGGAGGCAGCAGUAGGGAAUCAUCCGCAAUGGGCGAAAGCCUGACGGUGCAACGCCGCGUGAACGAUGAAGGUUUUCGGAUCGUAAAGUUCUGUUAUGAGGGAAGAACAAGUGCCGUUCGAAUAGGUCGGCACCUUGACGGUACCUCACGAGAAAGCCCCGUGCUAACUACGUGCCAGCAGCCGC